AAAGUCUCAUACGAUGAAGGAGUAGCGAACCGCAUCGGCCCCGAGUCAUGCGCAGUCGUCCGUGAGGACGGCUGCGAAGCGUUGACAGGGGGGAUGUGGGCCAGGUAUUGAGCCGCGAAAAGACCCUCAUCCGGGGUGCCGACGCCAUCGAGGGCAGCGGAAGGCAAAACGGGAUGUCUCGUAAGCGCGAGAAGCAUUCCGACCCCGCGUGGUCUUAGACCC
This is a non-coding RNA of Geobacter sp., 222 nucleotides long. Lineage: Bacteria; Pseudomonadati; Thermodesulfobacteriota; Desulfuromonadia; Geobacterales; Geobacteraceae. The record is from Rfam.